AGUGAACGCUGGCGGCAGGCCUAACACAUGCAAGUCGAGCGGCAGCGCGGGGGCAACCCUGGCGGCGAGCGGCGGACGGGUGAGGAAUUCGUCGGAAUCUGCCUUUUUGUGGGGGAUAACGUAGGGAAACUUACGCUAAUACCGCAUACGUCCUACGGGAGAAAGUGGGGGACCGCAAGGCCUCACGCAGAAAGAUGAGCCGACGAACGAUUAGCUAGUUGGUGGGGUAAAGGCCCACCAAGGCGACGAUCGGUAGCUGGUCUGAGAGGAUGAUCAGCCACACUGGGACUGAGACACGGCCCAGACUCCUACGGGAGGCAGCAGUGGGGAAUAUUGGACAAUGGGCGCAAGCCUGAUCCAGCCAUGCCGCGUGUGUGAAGAAGGCCUUCGGGUUGUAAAGCACUUUUGUCCGGAAAGAAAUCCCUGGAGCUAAUACCUUCGGGGGAUGACGGUACCGGAAGAAUAAGCACCGGCUAACUUCGUG
RNAcentral lists this ribosomal RNA (484 nucleotides) under uncultured bacterium. Its description in RNAcentral is "partial 16S ribosomal RNA". It matches the Rfam family "Bacterial small subunit ribosomal RNA", at positions 29 to 507 of the family's 1533-position model. The record is from RNAcentral.